GGUAAGAUGGCUCAGAGGUUAAGAGCACUGGCUGCUCUUCCAGAGGUCCUGAGUUCAAUUCUCAGCAACCA
Molecule: transfer RNA, 71 nt
Filed under: Cricetulus griseus (Chinese hamster)
Lineage: Eukaryota; Metazoa; Chordata; Mammalia; Rodentia; Cricetidae
Rfam family: tRNA
About the family: Transfer RNA (tRNA) molecules are approximately 80 nucleotides in length. Their secondary structure includes four short double-helical elements and three loops (D, anti-codon, and T loops). Further hydrogen bonds mediate the characteristic L-shaped molecular structure. tRNAs have two regions of fundamental functional importance: the anti-codon, which is responsible for specific mRNA codon recognition, and the 3' end, to which the tRNAs corresponding amino acid is attached (by aminoacyl-tRNA synthetases). tRNAs cope with the degeneracy of the genetic code in two manners: having more than one tRNA (with a specific anti-codon) for a particular amino acid; and 'wobble' base-pairing, i.e. permitting non-standard base-pairing at the 3rd anti-codon position.
Source: Rfam by way of RNAcentral